Bos taurus (domestic cattle) is the source of this 1168-nucleotide long non-coding RNA. The record is from Ensembl. Lineage: Eukaryota; Metazoa; Chordata; Mammalia; Artiodactyla; Bovidae.
UGAUUGGAGUCGCAGAGCUAGAAUCUGAUACAUAGGAAGCCAUUACCAACAGUGAGUAGACUCCUCGCUAGGCGCUGAGCUCCCUGGGGGCAGGUGCUGUUUGUUUCAUCUCUGUUUCCCCCAAAAUCAAGCAUGGAAUGAUAUUCUUGGAAUCAAUCCACAGAGUGGAUGCUAACACAAAUUGGAAUCCCAUUAUAGAUGAGGUUCCUAUGAAAAACCGACACAGCAUAUUAAAAAGCAGAGACAUUACUUUGCCACCAAAGGUCCACCUAAUCAAAGCUGUGGUUUUCCCAGUGGUCAUGUAUGGAUGUGAGAGUUGGACCAUAAAGAAAGCUGAGCACCAAAGAAUUGACGCCUUUGAACUGUGAUGUUGGAGAAGACUCUUGAGAGUCCCAUGGACUGCAACCAGUCCAUCCUAAAGGAUAUCAGUCCUGAGUGUUCACUGGAAGGACUGAUGGUGAAGCUGAAACUCUAAUACUUUGGCCACCUGAUGCAAAGGACUGACUCAUUGGAAAAGACCCUGAUGCUGGGAAAGAUAGAAGGUAGGAGGAGACAGGGAUGACAGAGAUGAGAUGGUUGGAUGGCAUCACUGACUCAAUGGACAUGAGUUUGAGCAAGCUCCGGGAGUUGGUGAUGGACAGGGAAGCCUGGCAUGCUGCAGUCCAUGGGGUUGCAAAGAGUCGGAUACAACUGAGCGACUGAACUGAACUAUAAACGAGGUAGAAAGAAGGAUGGAAGUAUAAUUGAAAUCAUAGUAAGGUUUCUUUCAAUGAGUGGAGGAGUUGUACUGGAUGAAUUGACUUCUGGCUGGAGAAGAGAGAGAGACUGGAGCAGAGCCACCCAGGGAACCAGUGAUGUGAACACUCCUGAAUCCGCCCUGUUUUCCCCUUGACACCCUGGCUGCUUAGAUACCCACUUGUAAUCACAUGCUAUCCACCCUUCCCUUGCAGCCACCAUCACAACCUGCUGUCAGAUAGAGAACAGAGUUGUGGUUGCCAAGGGUGGAGGGGAGAGGGGCGGGCUGGGAAUCUGGGGUUGGUAGAUGCAAACUACUACAGUUAGAGUGGAUAAACAACAAGAUCCUAAUGUACAGCACAGGGGACAAUAUUCAGUAUCCUGCUGCGAUAAACCAUAAUGGAAACGAAUGUGUAUAUGUGUAUAACUGAGG